GUUGAUUCUGGCUCAGAUUGAACGCUGGCAGGAUGCUUUACACAUGCGAAGUCGAACGGCAGCACGGACUCGGUCUGGUGGUGGUGGCGAACGGGUGAGUAAUGUAUCGGAACGUGCCUAGUAGCGGGGGAUAACUACGCGAAAGCGGCAACUAAUACCACGCCCGCCCUUCAAGGGGAAAGCAGGGGACCUUCGGGCCUCACUGUAAACGGCCGAUAUCGGAUUAGCUAGUUGGUGGGGUAACGGCUCACCAAGGCGACGAUCCGUAGCUGGUUUGAAGGACGACCAGCCACGCUGGGACUGAGACGCGGCCCAGACUCCUACAGGGAGGCAGCAGUGAGAGAUUUUUGGACAAUGGGGAAACCCUGAUCAGCCAUCCCGCGUGUGCGAUGAGGGCCUUCAGGUUGUAAAGCACUUUUGGCAGGAAAGAAACGGCACAGGAUAAUACACGAUGCAACUGACCAGUACCUGCAGAAUAGCACCGGCUAACUACGUGCUGGCAACCGCGGUAAUACGUAGGGUGCGAAGCGUUAAUCAGAUUACUGGGCGUAAAGCGUGCGCAGGCGGUUCGGAAAGAAGAUGUGAAAUCCCAGAGCUUAACUUUGGAACUGCAUUUUUAACUACCGAGCUAGAGUGUGUCAGAGGAGGUGGAAUUCCGCAUGUAGCGGUAAAGUACGUGAAUAUGCGGAAGGGCUACCGAUGGCGAAGGCAGCCUCCUGGGAUACUUACUGGCAACUCCAUGCACGAAAGCGUAGAGGCAAACAGGUUAGAUACUGGUGAUCCCGCCUAAACGAUGUCAACUAGCUGUUAGGCCUUCGGAGCCUUGGUGACGCAACCUUUUAUGACAAAAGUUAAACCAUGGAAACCUGGUCACGCAAGAUUGGCUUUCAAAGAAAUUGACGGGGACCCGCACAAGCGGUGGAUGAUGUGGAUUGAAUUCGAUGCAACGCGAAAAACCUUACCUACCCUUGACAUGUCUGGAAUCCCGAAGAGAUUUGGGAGUACUUCGCAAGAGAACAGAACACAGGUGCUGCGUGGCUGUCGUCAGCUCGUGUCGCGAGAUGUUAGGUUAAGUCCCGCAACGAGCGCAACCACUUGUCAUUAGUUGCUACGAAGGGCAUAAUACAGGACUGCCGGUGAUGUAAAACCGGAGGAAGGUGAGGAUGACGUCAAGCUCAUGGCCCACUAUGGGUAGGGCUUCACACGUCAUACAAUGGUCGGGACAGAGGGUCAUGCCCAACCCGCGAGGAAGGCCAAUCCCAGAAGACGAUGCAAUAGUCCGGAUCGCAGUCUGCAACUCAGCUGCGUGAAGUCAGAAUCGCUACUAGUAAUCGCGGAUCAGCAUGUCGCGGUGAAUACGUUCCGGGUCUUGUACACCGUCACCGCCAUGGGGUGGGUUUACCAGAAGAGUAGUUAGCCUAACCGUAAGGAGGCGAUUACCACACGGUAGGAUUCAUGACUGGGGUGAAGUCGUAACAAGGUAG
Molecule: ribosomal RNA, 1484 nt
Filed under: uncultured Bordetella sp.
Lineage: Bacteria; Pseudomonadati; Pseudomonadota; Betaproteobacteria; Burkholderiales; Alcaligenaceae
Description: partial 16S-23S ribosomal RNA intergenic spacer
Rfam family: Bacterial small subunit ribosomal RNA
Source: RNAcentral